RNAcentral lists this unclassified non-coding RNA (216 nucleotides) under soil metagenome. RNAcentral describes it as "partial contains 5.8S ribosomal RNA, internal transcribed spacer 2, and large subunit ribosomal RNA". The record is from RNAcentral.
AACCAUUCUCACCUGCGGCUAGACCUGCGGAAGGAUCAUUACAAGUGACCCCGGUCUAACCACCGGGAUGUUCAUAACCCUUUGUUGUCCGACUCUGUUGCCUCCGGGGCGACCCUGCCUUCGGGCGGGGGCUCCGGGUGGACACUUCAAACUCUUGCGUGACUUUGCAGUCUGAGUAAACUUAAUUAAUAAAUUAAAACUUUCAACAACGGAUCU